CAUGGUUGUCGAGGGGAAUGACNCCGGGUCCNAAAGAGAGACNCUCGCAUGGCGUGCGCGUGGUGCGUUUCGGACCAGGCUUCAUUCCCCAUGACUCCAU
Molecule: microRNA precursor, 100 nt
Filed under: Hordeum vulgare
Lineage: Eukaryota; Viridiplantae; Streptophyta; Magnoliopsida; Poales; Poaceae
Description: miR166 stem-loop (hvu-MIR166a)
Gene: hvu-MIR166a
Source: miRBase by way of RNAcentral